UACGGAGGAUCCGAGCGUUAUCCGGAUUUAUUGGGUUUAAAGGGUGCGCAGGCGGUUAUGUUAGUCUGCUGUGAAAAGCAUCGGCUUAACCGGUGUCUUGCGGCGGAUACUGCAUAGCUUGAGUGCAGGAGAGGUAAGUGGAAUUCCUAGUGUAGCGGUGAAAUGCGUAGAUAUUAGGAGGAACACCAGCGGCGAAGGCGACUUACUGGACUGUAACUGACGCUGAGUCACGAAAGCGUGGGUAGCAAACAGGAUUAGAUACCCCU
RNAcentral lists this ribosomal RNA (266 nucleotides) under uncultured prokaryote. RNAcentral describes it as "partial 16S ribosomal RNA". It matches the Rfam family "Bacterial small subunit ribosomal RNA", at positions 524 to 788 of the family's 1533-position model. The record is from RNAcentral.